UACAGAGGUCUCAAGCGUUGCUCGGAAUCACUGGGCGUAAAGGGUGCGUAGGUGGCAUGGUAAGUCGGAUGUGAAAUCCCGGGGCUCAACCCCGGAACUGCAUUCGAUACUGCCAGGCUAGAGUACUGGAGAGGAGAUUGGAAUUUACGGUGUAGCAGUGAAAUGCGUAGAUAUCGUAAGGAAGACCAGUGGCGAAGGCGGAUCUCUGGACAGUUACUGACACUGAGGCACGAAGGCCAGGGGAGCGAACAGG
This 253-nucleotide ribosomal RNA is filed under the name uncultured bacterium. RNAcentral describes it as "partial 16S ribosomal RNA". It matches the Rfam family "Bacterial small subunit ribosomal RNA", at positions 524 to 776 of the family's 1533-position model. The record is from RNAcentral.